This 496-nucleotide ribosomal RNA is filed under the name uncultured bacterium. Its description in RNAcentral is "partial 16S ribosomal RNA". It matches the Rfam family "Bacterial small subunit ribosomal RNA", at positions 28 to 506 of the family's 1533-position model. The record is from RNAcentral.
GAUGAACGCUGGCGGCGUGCCUAAUACAUGCAAGUCGAGCGAACGGACGAGAAGCUUGCUUCUCUGAUGUUAGCGGCGGACGGGUGAGUAACACGUGGAUAACCUACCUAUAAGACUGGGAUAACUUCGGGAAACCGGAGCUAAUACCGGAUAAUAUUUUGAACCGCAUGGUUCAAAAGUGAAAGACGGUCUUGCUGUCACUUAUAGAUGGAUCCGCGCUGCAUUAGCUAGUUGGUAAGGUAACGGCUUACCAAGGCAACAAUGCAUAGCCGACCUGAGAGGGUGAUCGGCCACACUGGAACUGAGACACGGUCCAGACUCCUACGGGAGGCAGCAGUAGGGAAUCUUCCGCAAUGGGCGAAAGCCUGACGGAGCAACGCCGCGUGAGUGAUGAAGGUCUUCGGAUCGUAAAACUCUGUUAUUAGGGAAGAACAUAUGUGUAAGUAACUGUGCACAUCUUGACGGUACCUAAUCAGAAAGCCACGGCUAACUACGU